AUGAUCACUUGGAUGGGAAGCGAAAAAGGAAUCUACUCCACGAACUCUGCCUACAAUGCUCAGUUCAAAGACCUGCCUAACAAUGCAAUGAAGUCGACCAUCUGGAAAGUGUGGGCGCCAGGCAAAAUCAAAAUCUUCUCCUGGUUGAUUCACCACGAUAGAGUGUGGUGCAACGACCGGUUGCAACAACGACGAUGGCCAAAUCCAUAUUUCUGUCAGAUUUACCUAAAAAACCUAGAGUCCUCCGUGCAUCUCUUCUGGAACUGCCCGUUCUCGAAGGCGAUCUGGACAAAGGUGGCAGAAUGGAAAGGAUGCUCGUCCCUCGCCCCGCCGUCGCAAGAGCGGCGAUGCACUCCCUCGGCAGUUAGGGAAGUUUUAAAUGCAUCAACAGCAGAAAACAGGAAGGGAGUGAAGACUAUGAUCAUGGCUACCACCCGGGCAAUUUGGAUGGAAAGAAAUAGCUGA
This 465-nucleotide ribosomal RNA is filed under the name Triticum aestivum (bread wheat). RNAcentral describes it as "partial small subunit ribosomal RNA". Lineage: Eukaryota; Viridiplantae; Streptophyta; Magnoliopsida; Poales; Poaceae. The record is from RNAcentral.